Molecule: ribosomal RNA, 468 nt
Filed under: uncultured bacterium
Lineage: Bacteria
Description: partial 16S ribosomal RNA
Rfam family: Bacterial small subunit ribosomal RNA
Source: RNAcentral
GAUGAACGCUGACAGAAUGCUUAACACAUGCAAGUCUACUUGAAUUUGGGUUUUUUAACUUAGAUUUGGGUGGCGGACGGGUGAGUAACGCGUAAAGAACUUGCCUCACAGCUAGGGACAACAUUUGGAAACGAAUGCUAAUACCUGAUAUUAUGAUUAUAAGGCAUCUUAGAAUUAUGAAAGCUAUAUGCGCUGUGAGAGAGCUUUGCGUCCCAUUAGCUUGUUGGAGAGGUAACGGCUCACCAAGGCGAUGAUGGGUAGCCGGCCUGAGAGGGUGAACGGCCACAAGGGGACUGAGACACGGCCCUUACUCCUACGGGAGGCAGCAGUGGGGAAUAUUGGACAAUGGACCAAGAGUCUGAUCCAGCAAUUCUGUGUGCACGAUGACGUUUUUCGGAAUGUAAAGUGCUUUCAGUUGGGAAGAAAAAAAUGACGGUACCAACAGAAGAAGUGACGGCUAAAUACGUG